GACGAACGCUGGCGGCGUGCCUAAUACAUGCAAGUAGAACGCUGAAGCUUGGUGCUUGCCCCGAGCGGAUGAGUUGCGAACGGGUGAGUAACGCGUAGGUAACCUGCCUGGUAGCGGGGGAUAACUAUUGGAAACGAUAGCUAAUACCGCAUAAGAGUAGAUGUUGCAUGACAUUUGCUUAAAAGGUGCAAUUGCAUCACUACCAGAUGGACCUGCGUUGUAUUAGCUAGUUGGUGAGGUAACGGCUCACCAAGGCAACGAUACAUAGCCGACCUGAGAGGGUGAUCGGCCACACUGGGACUGAGACACGGCCCAGACUCCUACGGGAGGCAGCAGUAGGGAAUCUUCGGCAAUGGACGGAAGUCUGACCGAGCAACGCCGCGUGAGUGAAGAAGGUUUUCGGAUCGUAAAGAUCGGUUGUAAGAGAAGAACGAGUGCGAGAGUGGAAAGUUCACACUGUGACGGUAUCUUACCAGAAAGGGACGGCUAACUACGUG
This 497-nucleotide ribosomal RNA is filed under the name uncultured bacterium. Its description in RNAcentral is "partial 16S ribosomal RNA". It matches the Rfam family "Bacterial small subunit ribosomal RNA", at positions 28 to 507 of the family's 1533-position model. The record is from RNAcentral.